GGUCUAUAUUGGUUGUCCUAGGGAUAGCUGAACCCCAGAGCACGACUCAAUCGCAACCUAGUCAACCCCAGAGCACGACUCAUUCUCAACCUAGUCAAUCCCAGAGCACGACUCAAUCGCAACCUAGUCAGGAGCAAACUGCCGAAACCAGCAACUCGGAGAAGGAUGUGCCAGUGGAGAAACCUAGCGAGCCUUCUUCAGAUGCCAGCUGACCGUUUCCGAAAAGUGAAAAAUCUGGCAAUUAGCGCACGAGUUUGACUCGAGCUCUAUUUCCAGUUGGCUGGUCCAGACCAUGCUUUACAAUUUCUAGGCAGCGAGUUUGACCUCGUGAAUCUGGCUCAAAUACAAUACAUGAAUGAAAACUGGCCCGGUUUAAUCACUGUUUGCUGAAAUGUCAAUUUGAGUCUUUGCAUAUAAAGAAGGCAGGAAAUCGGCAACUUCAAAUUACCUUUCACGAUUGGAGUCAAACGAUUAGUUUCAUAAGAAUUUUGAACAGUUGGCCUCGAAUGGUUAGUUUCGGAAUAACUUUGAGCAAUUAGCUUCAGAAGAGGCUUGGACAAUCGACCUUAAACGGUUAGCUUCAAAAGUAGCUCUAGCGAGUGGUCUCAAGCCGUGAGUUUUGCCAAUGCAUUCAAAGCAUUUUCAGCGUAAUGUUUAUUUUAUAUUUGGUGAGAGUUUUGGUCUACUUUGAUGAAGAAAAA
This 701-nucleotide long non-coding RNA is filed under the name Linum usitatissimum (flax). Its description in RNAcentral is "long non-coding RNA (LUSI_LNC003814)". The record is from RNAcentral. Lineage: Eukaryota; Viridiplantae; Streptophyta; Magnoliopsida; Malpighiales; Linaceae.